This is a long non-coding RNA of Saccostrea echinata, 340 nucleotides long. RefSeq lists it as uncharacterized. The record is from RefSeq and is a predicted model, not a curated record. The transcript is spliced from 3 exons. NCBI's taxonomy places the organism in Eukaryota, Metazoa, Mollusca, Bivalvia, Ostreida, Ostreidae.
GAUGAAGACGAUUUUUCUUGGUGCGAAUGUUUCACUGGAUGUGUUUCAAUCUUUUACCCAUUUUCCGGUAUUCUUGGUUUCACUGGGUGCAUGAUUUUGGUGUCACGUGAUUUAGGGGAGUUUGACUGGGCGUUCUACGUUUGCUUGGCAGCGUCCAUUUAUAAUAUUCUACAGAUGUUUUACUUCUGCUGGUCCAUUUACCAAGCUCGACAUCUGAAAGAGGAAAAUACAGAUGAAGGCCCCACAGGAGUGUUAGUGAUGGAACAGCUCCAGAUCACACAAGUUACACACAUUUUCCAUAUUACAUAGAUAGUGAUGGAAAAGCUCCAGAUGACUCAAG